Molecule: ribosomal RNA, 372 nt
Filed under: uncultured organism
Description: partial 16S ribosomal RNA
Rfam family: Bacterial small subunit ribosomal RNA
Source: RNAcentral
GUAGGUGGCAAGCGUUGUCCGGGAUUAUUGGGCGUAAAGCGCGCGCAGGCGGUUUUUUAAGUCUGAUGUGAAAGCCCACGGCUCAACCGUGGAGGGUCAUUGGAAACUGGAGAACUUGAGUACAGAAGAGGAAAGCGGAAUUCCACGUGUAGCGGUGAAAUGCGUAGAGAUGUUGAGGAACACCAGUGGCGAAGGCGGCUUUCUGGUCUGUAACUGACGCUGAGGCGCGAAAGCGUGGGGAGCAAACAGGGAUUAGAUACCCUGGUAGUCCACGCCGUAAACGAUGAGAGCUAAGUGUUAGGGGGUUUCCCGCCCCUUAGUGCUGCAGCUAACGCAUUAAGCACUCCGCCUGGGGAUACGGCCGCAAGGCUG